AUCCAUCCAGUUCUCCAUCCGGAGUUCAUAACCAAAUCUGAUCCAUUUGAGUGAGCCGAUCUUAGGGUCCUUCAAGUGGUAUCAGAGCCGCUCGUUUGGUAUCUUCUAAAUCAUUCAUCUUUCUCAUCUUCCAUUUCUAAAUCAUAAACACUUCUUCUUCUAUCCAUCUUGAAUCCGGACCCCUCAUUAUCAUCCUCUAUCUAUAAAAAAAAAAAGAUUUUCAUUUGGGGAUUGGUGGUGGAAGAGAAAGCCUGCUGGCUGAGGAGAAAUCCAGCCUUUGAGGUGGUU
Molecule: long non-coding RNA, 288 nt
Filed under: Brassica rapa (field mustard)
Lineage: Eukaryota; Viridiplantae; Streptophyta; Magnoliopsida; Brassicales; Brassicaceae
Description: long non-coding RNA (BRAP_LNC008509)
Source: RNAcentral